UCAUUUGUCCGCUAAAUAUUUGGUGAAAAAAUGAAGCGGCUAACCAAAUUUAUUCUCCCUCACUCCAUUGUUUCACUUGUCAUGUUUUUUUUUUCUCACAAUCUAGAUCUGUCCAUCUUCUCAAGCUCUUUUCUCACUCGUUUACUUUUUUUUUGGUAAUUCACCAAAUUUAGAACCAGGCUUCUCCUCCGAUUAAAUCCUUUACCCAGAUUUAAAACCAGAUAGAUCAUCUUCUUCUUCUUCUCCAUAUAACGAAACCCUAGUUACGCCUUUUCAGUAGAUACAGAUCUUUAUCUUGUCUUUCUCUCCCUUUCACUCUUUCUCUUAAAAUCGAUCCCUAGCCACUUGUGAAGCAAAAGAGAUAGGGAUUUGAAACCCUAGCCACCAUCGCACAUAUCUCUCUUCGUAUCUGCUAGAUCUGUUCGUUUUCUUCCAUCUGUAUUGUGAAACCCGAGAUCUAGAGAUAUCCGUACAAGUCUCGUUUCUUUAAGAAAAGCAUUGUGGGAUUGAUUUCAAGAAGAGCAUUGAGAAAGGACCGUAAGUGAAACGUUUCAAGAUGAAGAUUUUAAUCUGAA
Molecule: non-coding RNA, 575 nt
Organism: Camelina sativa (false flax)
Lineage: Eukaryota; Viridiplantae; Streptophyta; Magnoliopsida; Brassicales; Brassicaceae
Source: RefSeq, a predicted model, not a curated record